Molecule: ribosomal RNA, 459 nt
Filed under: uncultured bacterium
Lineage: Bacteria
Description: partial 16S ribosomal RNA
Rfam family: Bacterial small subunit ribosomal RNA
Source: RNAcentral
CCUACGGGAGGCAGCAGUGAGGAAUAUUGGUCAAUGGCCGGGAGGCUGAACCAGCCAAGUCGCGUGAGGGAAGACGGCCCUACGGGUUGUAAACCUCUUUUGUCAGGGAGCAAGGUGCAGGUCGGGACCUGCUGUGCGCGUACCUGAAGAAAAAGCAUCGGCUAACUCCGUGCCAGCAGCCGCGGUAAUACGGAGGAUGCGAGCGUUAUCCGGAUUUAUUGGGGUUAAAGGGUGCGCAGGCGGAGGCACAAGUCAGCGGCAAAAUCGCGGGGCUCAACCCCGCUCCGCCGUUGAAACUGGGGACCUUGAGUGCGCGAAGGGUAGGCGGAAUGCGUGGUGUAGCGGUGAAAUGCAUAGAUAGCACGCAGAACUCCGAUCGCGAAGGCAGCCUACCGGCGCGCAACUGACGCUCAUGCACGAAAGCGUGGGUAUCGAACAGGAUUAGAUACCCCUGUAGUC